Molecule: ribosomal RNA, 292 nt
Filed under: uncultured bacterium
Lineage: Bacteria
Description: partial 16S ribosomal RNA
Rfam family: Bacterial small subunit ribosomal RNA
Source: RNAcentral
GUGCCAGCCGCCGCGGUAAUACGGAGGGGGCAAGCGUUACUCGGAAUUAUUGGGCGUAAAGGGCGCGUAGGCGGUCGUGCGCGUCGGAGGUGAAAUCCCCGGGCUCAACCCGGGAACUGCCUCCGAUACGGCACGGCUUGAGUCCGGGAGAGGGGAGCGGAAUUCCCAGUGUAGCGGUGAAAUGCGUAGAUAUUGGGAGGAACACCGGUGGCGAAGGCGGCUCCCUGGACCGGUACUGACGCUGAGGCGCGAAAGCGUGGGGAGCAAACAGGAUUAGAAACCCGUGUAGUCC